This 253-nucleotide ribosomal RNA is filed under the name uncultured prokaryote. RNAcentral's name for it is "partial 16S ribosomal RNA". It matches the Rfam family "Bacterial small subunit ribosomal RNA", at positions 524 to 776 of the family's 1533-position model. The record is from RNAcentral.
UACGAAGGGGGCUAGCGUUGCUCGGAAUGACUGGGCGUAAAGGGCGCGUAGGCGGAGUGCUUUGUCGGGCGUGAAAUUCCAGGGCUCAACCUUGGGGCUGCGUUCGAGACGGGCAUUCUUGAGUAUGGAAGAGGGUCGUGGAAUUCCCAGUGUAGAGGUGAAAUUCGUAGAUAUUGGGAAGAACACCGGUGGCGAAGGCGGCGACCUGGUCCAUUACUGACGCUGAGGCGCGAAAGCGUGGGGAGCAAACAGG